CAUGUAGGCGGAUUAAUAAGUUUGAAGUGAAAUCCUAUAGCUUAACUAUAGAACUGCUUUGAAAACUGUUAAUCUAGAAUGUGGGAGAGGUAGAUGGAAUUUCUGGUGUAGGGGGUAAAAUCCGUAGAGAUCAGAAGGAAUACCGAUUGCGAAGGCGAUCUACUGGAACAUUAUUGACGCUGAGAUGCGAAAGCGUGGGGAGCAAACA
This 208-nucleotide ribosomal RNA is filed under the name uncultured Arcobacter sp. RNAcentral describes it as "partial 16S ribosomal RNA". It matches the Rfam family "Bacterial small subunit ribosomal RNA", at positions 568 to 774 of the family's 1533-position model. Lineage: Bacteria; Pseudomonadati; Campylobacterota; Epsilonproteobacteria; Campylobacterales; Arcobacteraceae. The record is from RNAcentral.